CCCUUAGAGUUUGAUCCUGGCUCAGAUUGAACGCUGGCGGCAGGCCUAACACAUGCAAGUCGAACGGUAACAGGAAGCAGCUUGCUGCUUCGCUGACGAGUGGCGGACGGGUGAGUAAUGUCUGGGAAACUGCCUGAUGGAGGGGGAUAACUACUGGAAACGGUAGCUAAUACCGCAUAACGUCGCAAGACCAAAGAGGGGGACCUUCGGGCCUCUUGCCAUCGGAUGUGCCCAGAUGGGAUUAGCUAGUAGGUGGGGUAACGGCUCACCUAGGCGACGAUCCCUAGCUGGUCUGAGAGGAUGACCAGCCACACUGGAACUGAGGCACGGUCCAGACUCCUACGGGAGGCAGCAGUGGGGAAUAUUGCACAAUGGGCGCAAGCCUGAUGCAGCCAUGCCGCGUGUAUGAAGAAGGCCUUCGGGUUGUAAAGUACUUUCAGCGGGGAGGAAGGUGCUGAGGUUAAUAACCUCAGCAAUUGGCGUACCCGCAGAAGAAGCCCGCACUCG
This 507-nucleotide ribosomal RNA is filed under the name uncultured bacterium. RNAcentral describes it as "bacterial SSU rRNA". It matches the Rfam family "Bacterial small subunit ribosomal RNA", at positions 1 to 500 of the family's 1533-position model. The record is from RNAcentral.